Molecule: long non-coding RNA, 710 nt
Filed under: Rattus norvegicus (Norway rat)
Lineage: Eukaryota; Metazoa; Chordata; Mammalia; Rodentia; Muridae
Description: long non-coding RNA NONRATT021031
Source: RNAcentral
CAAGCUGAAAGGUCACCUCACGCACAGGAAGGAGCAUCGAUAAUAACCUUUGAUUCGUUCAGAGUCUGAGCAGCACAGAUGUGGAAACGGACAGUUGUAGUUGUUGUAUUGGGGAAUAAGAGUUACUUUGAUGUGCAAAGGGGGAAAAAACCAAGACAGUGUGAUUUCUGUGCUGACUCGGGCAGGGAGGGCGAGCAGCGACGACAGACACAGCUUUGUUUGAUGCAUGGCUGUUGUCUUCCUAUAGGAGAAUCCUGGGGACAAAGCAGGGUGAGCACCGCCCCUCGUUACACCGAUUCAUCAGCUCCUAUUCCUGGGCCGAUGCGGAGGAGAAGUGUGACGUCAUCAAAACCAGAGACGCCCCGGAGCCCCCAGGAGAGGAGGCGGCAGAGAGGACCAGGAAGCCUAGCCUUUCUGAGAGGAGAGGCAGCCUCUCGGCCUGGGACAGCAGCACAAUCUACAGCUCAGUGGCCUCCUGGGUCACUCACCUGCGGGCGUCCUUCAGAAGGGCCAACAGAGCGCUGUGGCUCUCUGGGCUCUUCCUCGUACUGUUCGCCGGGUUGAUGAGCGUCCUCGCGGGUCAGCUCUUCCAGUCCGCCGUGGAGGCCGCGCCCACGCAGGAAGGGGACUCCUGGAUGUCUCUGGAACACAUCUUCUGGCCAUUGACCAGACUUGGGCACGAUGGACCGCCACCAGUGUGACUGCCACAC